This 449-nucleotide ribosomal RNA is filed under the name Salmonella enterica subsp. enterica serovar Typhimurium. Its description in RNAcentral is "partial 23S ribosomal RNA". It matches the Rfam family "Bacterial large subunit ribosomal RNA", at positions 200 to 688 of the family's 2925-position model. The record is from RNAcentral. Lineage: Bacteria; Pseudomonadati; Pseudomonadota; Gammaproteobacteria; Enterobacterales; Enterobacteriaceae.
AUCUAAGUACCCCGAGGAAAAGAAAUCAACCGAGAUUCCCCCAGUAGCGGCGAGCGAACGGGGAGGAGCCCAGAGCCUGAAUCAGCAUGUGUGUUAGUGGAAGCGUCUGGAAAGGCGCGCGAUACAGGGUGACAGCCCCGUACACAAAAGCGCAUGUGCUGUGAGCUCGAUGAGUAGGGCGGGACACGUGGUAUCCUGUCUGAAUAUGGGGGGACCAUCCUCCAAGGCUAAAUACUCCUGACUGACCGAUAGUGAACCAGUACCGUGAGGGAAAGGCGAAAAGAACCCCGGCGAGGGGAGUGAAAAAGAACCUGAAACCGUGUACGUACAAGCAGUGGGAGCACAGGUUUACCUGUGUGACUGCGUACCUUUUGUAUAAUGGGUCAGCGACUUAUAUUCUGUAGCAAGGUUAACCGUAUAGGGGAGCCGUAGGGAAACCGAGUCUUAAC